CAAGGCUGGUUUUCAUGACAUCAGCAUGGCUGAGCAAGAGAACUAGAGCCACUGAAGAUGGUGAAAAUGGAAAGGGAGCACACAUGGGUCCUCCCAUCUCUCCUGUCAUAUGAGAUCACAGGACUCUUUCCCUCCAGAGGAUGCAGUAACCAAGCGUCAUCCUAGAAGCACAGAACAUCUCUCCAAAGACUCCAGUCCUGCUGGUACCUUGAUCUUGGACUUCUCAUCCUGGACUUCUCAUCCUCUAGAACUGGGAGAAAUUAAUUUCUGUCUUUUACAAAUUUCCCAGUCUUGAGUAUUUUAUUAUAAAGAUAUGAUUGAAGAAUAACAGAAGUAUUUCUGUCAGAAGAGAACCAAGCCAUUCUCUGUUGGAGGAACAUUCUGAGCAAAGGGGUUAUUGUUAUGAGGGAUCAGAGAAGAAAGAAGUUCAUCUCUCCUUUAGGCAGCAGGAUUGAAGAAGAAUAUGAACCCAUCAGGCAAGGAUGUUUUUGUAUUUACUUUGCCAAGAGAGAUAUAGACUCUGGAAUCCAACAGGGGUCAGCUCAGAAAGGCUGCAUUGAGGCAGAAAUGAGAUAUCCCAAGGGCUGAAGCAGCUGAUUCUGAGAACAGUUUUCUCUCAUUCCCCUGGAGGCAGAAUGCACCGCCAGGCUGACAAGGCCAGCACACCACUGAGACAGACGGCACAAACCAUGAUUCUGAGUCCAGGGUGGUGAGGCUGGAGAAGAGGAAAAUGUGAACUGGGAAAAUUGGAUUAAUGAAUUCAACAGAUCAUGUAAAAAUACAUCCUUCCAGAAGAGAAAGUGGAUCUAAGGCCCCAGAGAAUAUCCCCAUCUCAGAGAUUCCCGGCUUUUAGUGAUAUGGAUCCCUUUGACAGCUACGUAAGCCUAUGGGCUUCUGAGGAUGCUUUUGAAAAUAAAAAAGUAAAUUUUUGUGAUACCAAUUUUGUUGAAAUUUGUUAAAUAUUUUUAGUUGUGAUACACAUUUUAAUUGAAGUGUAGUAGUGCCACAGGCUUAUAAGUGUCCAUGAAGGCUAAGUGAAGAAUCUUGGUGAGAUACCUGCCUAUCUUCCAUGGAAUGAAGAUGCUCAGA
Molecule: long non-coding RNA, 1089 nt
Organism: Heterocephalus glaber (naked mole-rat)
Lineage: Eukaryota; Metazoa; Chordata; Mammalia; Rodentia; Bathyergidae
Source: RefSeq, a predicted model, not a curated record